Molecule: ribosomal RNA, 797 nt
Filed under: Salmonella enterica subsp. enterica serovar Virchow
Lineage: Bacteria; Pseudomonadati; Pseudomonadota; Gammaproteobacteria; Enterobacterales; Enterobacteriaceae
Description: partial 23S ribosomal RNA
Rfam family: Bacterial large subunit ribosomal RNA
Source: RNAcentral
AGACCCGAAACCCGGUGAUCUAGCCAUGGGCAGGUUGAAGGUUGGGUAACACUAACUGGAGGACCGAACCGACUAAUGUUGAAAAAUUAGCGGAUGACCUGUGGCUGGGGGUGAAAGGCCAAUCAAACCGGGAGAUAGCUGGUUCUCCCCGAAAGCUAUUUAGGUAGCGCCUCGUGAAUUCAUCUCCGGGGGUAGAGCACUGUUUCGGCUAGGGGGCCAUCCCGGCUUACCAACCCGAUGCAAACUGCGAAUACCGGAGAAUGUUAUCACGGGAGACACACGGCGGGUGCUAACGUCCGUCGUGAAGAGGGAAACAACCCAGACCGCCAGCUAAGGUCCCAAAGUCAUGGUUAAGUGGGAAACGAUGUGGGAAGGCCCAGACAGCCAGGAUGUUGGCUUAGAAGCAGCCAUCAUUUAAAGAAAGCGUAAUAGCUCACUGGUCGAGUCGGCCUGCGCGGAAGAUGUAACGGGGCUAAACCAUGCACCGAAGCUGCGGCAGCGACACUCAGGUGUUGUUGGGUAGGGGAGCGUUCUGUAAGCCUGUGAAGGUGGCCUGUGAGGGUUGCUGGAGGUAUCAGAAGUGCGAAUGCUGACAUAAGUAACGAUAAAGCGGGUGAAAAGCCCGCUCGCCGGAAGACCAAGGGUUCCUGUCCAACGUUAAUCGGGGCAGGGUGAGUCGACCCCUAAGGCGAGGCCGAAAGGCGUAGUCGAUGGGAAACGGGUUAAUAUUCCCGUACUUGGUGUUACUGCGAAGGGGGGACGGAGAAGGCUAUGUUGGCCGGGCGACGGUUGUCCCG